This 76-nucleotide transfer RNA is filed under the name Acidaminococcaceae bacterium. RNAcentral describes it as "tRNA-Thr". It matches the Rfam family "tRNA". From Rfam's summary of the family: Transfer RNA (tRNA) molecules are approximately 80 nucleotides in length. Their secondary structure includes four short double-helical elements and three loops (D, anti-codon, and T loops). Further hydrogen bonds mediate the characteristic L-shaped molecular structure. tRNAs have two regions of fundamental functional importance: the anti-codon, which is responsible for specific mRNA codon recognition, and the 3' end, to which the tRNAs corresponding amino acid is attached (by aminoacyl-tRNA synthetases). tRNAs cope with the degeneracy of the genetic code in two manners: having more than one tRNA (with a specific anti-codon) for a particular amino acid; and 'wobble' base-pairing, i.e. permitting non-standard base-pairing at the 3rd anti-codon position. The record is from RNAcentral. RNAcentral also lists the same sequence under 1 other name. Lineage: Bacteria; Bacillati; Bacillota; Negativicutes; Acidaminococcales; Acidaminococcaceae.
GCCACAUUAGCUCAGCUGGUAGAGCAACGCAUUCGUAAUGCGUGGGUCGUAGGUUCGAAUCCUAUAUGUGGCUCCA